UACGGGGGGGGCAAGCGUUGUUCGGAAUUACUGGGCGUAAAGGGCGUGUAGGCGGCCAACUAAGUCCGACGUGAAAUCCCCAGGCUUAACCUGGGAACUGCGUCGGAUACUGGAUGGCUUGAAUCCGGGAGAGGUGAGUGGAACUGCGAGUGUAGAGGUGAAAUUCGUAGAUAUUCGCAAGAACACCAGUGGCGAAGGCGGCUCACUGGCCCGGUACUGACGCUGAGGUGCGAAAGCGUGGGGAGCAAACAGG
Molecule: ribosomal RNA, 253 nt
Filed under: uncultured bacterium
Lineage: Bacteria
Description: partial 16S ribosomal RNA
Rfam family: Bacterial small subunit ribosomal RNA
Source: RNAcentral